Molecule: microRNA precursor, 96 nt
Filed under: Morus notabilis
Lineage: Eukaryota; Viridiplantae; Streptophyta; Magnoliopsida; Rosales; Moraceae
Description: mir-393 microRNA precursor family
Rfam family: mir-393 microRNA precursor family
Source: Rfam by way of RNAcentral
AGAGAAGGCAUCCAAAGGGAUCGCAUUGAUCCCAACUUUCUCUCUCUCUCUUUAUCCCAUAGUUUCGGAUCAUGCUAUCUCUUUGGAUUCCUCCUU